AACGAACGCUGGCGGCGCGCCUAACACAUGCAAGUCGAACGAGAAUCCGGGGCAACCCGGUAGUAAAGUGGCAAACGGGUGAGGAAUACAUGGGUAACCUACCCUUGAGAAGGGAAUAACCCGCCGAAAGGUGAGCUAAUACCCUAUACGCUAUCUUUUUUUCGAAAAGGAUAGGAAAGCCGGGUCGAGGACCUGGUACUCAAGGAGGGGCUCAUGUCCUAUCAGCUUGUUGGUGGGGUAACGGCCUACCAAGGCUACGACGGGUAGCUGGUCUGAGAGGAUGAUCAGCCACACUGGCACUGAGAUACGGGCCAGACUCCUACGGGAGGCAGCAGUGAGGAAUAUUGCGCAAUGGGCGAAAGCCUGACGCAGCGACGCCGCGUGGGGGAUGAAGGUUUUCGGAUUGUAAACCCUUUCAUGAGGAAAGGUAAAGUGGGUAACCACUUAGACGGUACCUCAAGAAGAAGCCACGGCUAACUUCGUG
RNAcentral lists this ribosomal RNA (484 nucleotides) under uncultured bacterium. Its description in RNAcentral is "bacterial SSU rRNA". It matches the Rfam family "Bacterial small subunit ribosomal RNA", at positions 29 to 507 of the family's 1533-position model. The record is from RNAcentral.